This is a long non-coding RNA of Brassica rapa (field mustard), 1368 nucleotides long. RefSeq lists it as uncharacterized. The record is from RefSeq and is a predicted model, not a curated record. Lineage: Eukaryota; Viridiplantae; Streptophyta; Magnoliopsida; Brassicales; Brassicaceae.
GAAUAUAACCCUUCCAUCCAAAAACUGUACACAAACCAAAUCAAUAGUUAAUACAAGUUGGCAAACUUUUUAUUUGAAACGAACCCUUUCUUGUUCUCAACCGACGAGCGUGAGAGUAAUGUGUUACCUUUCCGUGCAUCCCUUCAAUAGCUUUCAUUGACUCCUCCUCUGUUUCAUACCGCAGGAAAGCAAACCCUCUUGGUCUAUUUGCUACUUUAUCCAUCACCAAGUUAACUAAAAGGAGACAAUCAAGAAAAUGAAUUACAUUUUGAGUUUUCUUACCUGAUCAUCGUACAUGGUAACUAAACAGACACCUAAUAAAAAAGAUCUGACGAAGAAGUUGAACAAGGGAGGGGGUUAUGGGUUACCAAGUGUGAGCUUACCAAACUGUUCAAAAGCUUUUCUUUAGUUAUCUUCAGUUGUGCGGAAAGAAAGCCCUGUGCAUAAUAAAACCAUCAAACCCCUUGUUAUAUGAAGUUCAAGUCUUAUACGGUAAAGGUAGAGAGACAAACUAGGCAUCAAAAGGUGGUAGAAAGCUAGCAAGUAACAAGAAAAAACAGAAGAGAGCAUUAAGACUCUUUUGGCCAUUUCUGAACACCACUAAUUAACUUGCAAUAAUCCCCUUUACAUAAAGCUUAACAGCAGCAGAAAGAUGUAUCUAUCUCCCCAGUUCAUCAGAACAUAUACCAAUUAAAAAAAACAUUCUUCUUAAUUUUUAAACUAAGGAUGUCUAGGCCAAAGGCCAACUAAAUCGUAUAAGAGACCGGUACCCGGCACCAAGUUUACUAAAUGAAACCUAAGACAUGGUCUCAUGCUCGUUUGGCCAAAUAAUAGCAACUUAGCCCCAAGUUUGUUAGUCUUUUUUUGGUAAAAUAAAAGGUGGUUUCACCUCUUUGCCCGGAACCCAAGCAUUUUAAAUAGUCCCUCCCACUGUGAAUUGAAUCCGAGUGGCGGUAGUUACAGUCGUAACCCUUUUACCACUAGGCCAACUCAACGUUAGUAAGUUUGUUAGUUUUGUCAAACAAUAGCAACUUAAUUCCUAGCCGGAAUCAAACCCAUGAGAGAUAUUUUACUCAAUGCCCACCAGGCUGCCACCUGCAUGGUUAAAAACAAUAAUUUGAUUUGGGUGCUACUCGGGCUUGUAAUCGUAUUCCCGUUUUCAUGUUGAUUUAAUAUAUUUGAAUUUAAAAAAAAAAAAAAAACAGAUAGAUUCCCUCGCCCAGAGAAUCUCUAGAAAAAACACUAGUCAUGUUCAACUAAACAGCAAAGAAUAAUAACGUACAAUGUGUCCACAGGACCAUAACCACAUUUAGUUCCCUACAGAAGUAUCAUUCAUGAAUUUGAGAUUAAGCAAAAGAUGAAAGAAUC